This 224-nucleotide ribosomal RNA is filed under the name uncultured bacterium. RNAcentral's name for it is "partial 16S ribosomal RNA". It matches the Rfam family "Bacterial small subunit ribosomal RNA", at positions 943 to 1167 of the family's 1533-position model. The record is from RNAcentral.
GGUUUAAUUCGAUGCAACGCGAAUAACCUUACCUGGCCUUGACAUCCACGGAACCCUGCAGAGAUGCGGGGGGUGCCUUCGGGAACCGUGAGACAGGUGCUGCAUGGCUGUCGUCAGCUCGUGUCGUGAGAUGUUGGGUUAAGUCCCGCAACGAGCGCAACCCUUGUCCCUAGUUGCCAGCAUUCAGUUGGGCACUCCAGGGAGACCGCCGGUGACAAACCGGA